Linepithema humile (Argentine ant) is the source of this 3569-nucleotide long non-coding RNA. RefSeq lists it as uncharacterized. The record is from RefSeq and is a predicted model, not a curated record. Lineage: Eukaryota; Metazoa; Arthropoda; Insecta; Hymenoptera; Formicidae.
CGUAUCGCUGUCAAUUGAGUAUUUUAUUCGUAUUAAAAAUGCAUAAUCAAUGUUAACUUUUUGUGAACGUCGAAUAUUGAUUAAAUAGACAAUUGUUGUGUUCACGAUUAAAAGCGUUUCGUCAAUCGUGCAAGACGUAGACGGGUUGUACUGAAAUAGGUUAGAAUCUCAGUGAGUAUAUAAAUUUUAAUGCUGAGAAAAUUACUUUUUACAUUCGCUUGAAAGAUUCGAAGCGCGAUAUAUACAAUCGACCAGUAUGCUUAUUCGGUAAUUUUUAACGAUAAUAUCGCUAUCGUCGUAUGCUGCACGUAUGUUGCACGGUUAUCGCAUGAUACCUACACAACGACACGUAACGACGGCAAUAUUGUCGUUAGAAAGUUACAAAAUACAGAUACAGGAAUUUCUCAUAUAAAAUUGCCGCCAGAGCUUAGUCGAAAAUAAAUUCGUACACAAUUUCGUGUGUGAUUACAUAUUCUUAAUUAAAAUACCUGAUUAAUCAUUGAGCGCUUCGUUCACACUGCACAUUUUGUGCUGAUGUAGUCGUAAAAGAGAUUGGUAAGAAAAUAGCAACGCGUCGAUAUAUCGAUAUCGAUUAUUAAUUAUUAAGAUAUUGGCGACAUUGUCAAGCAAUGCUGCCGCCCUGCGAUCGCCAUGUCAAUUUUUAUCGUCUUUAUCAUCGCGUCGGUUUGGUUUAAACAGUACAAACGUUUCUCCAUUAAUUGCACAUAUUAUUCGUACUGAAAGUGCAUAAUGAGUUUUUUGUCGGAAGUGCCGAUUAAAGUGACGGGCGAUGACCGAGAAUGUUCGCGAUUAAUAGCAUUUUUUGUGCCAUCAGACGACCGUCGUGCAUCGUCUGGCCGACGGAGCGUGGAUUUAGGUUAUAAUUUUAACGAGUAUACAAAUUUUGAUGCUGUAAAUGUUUGCUCAAUCGAAGCGUGAUGUAUCUUUUAUUAGAUAUAGCGUGUGUUGAAAACUCAGUUCGUCGAAAUGAAUCGGGCAAAACAUAGCUUGUUGUGUACGUGUCCAUACCUGCCGUCAAAACAAUCAUCGUUUGUCUCGCUCGUUCUAGUAUGUGUACAGUGUCACGAGGACUAUCGAAUGUGUAAAAUGAAAACAAUUGGUCACUUUUAUGCGUGGACAUGUUGCGGUACAAAGUAUCUCGGGUUAUCUCGCGUUUGCGUUCCGUGUACCAUGGCGACGUAAAUCUGUGAUUUUCGAAAGUGAAGUGCACGGAUUGACUUUCGUUUGGUAGUGCAUGUAACAACAUAAAUGCGGGUUUCCGGUCAUUCAUCAUUCUUCGAUGGAGCUGGUGCGAAGCAGCCUAAGGCAGAAUCUGCAACGGGUAGAACAAAUUACAAUAUUCUAGCUGGUGACUGCAUACUUGGCUAGAGUACAACGACCGGUGUAGGCUUUCUCGUUAGCAUCAUCAAAUAGCUACGAGGAGUAAGAUCGAUCCUUCCGGCCCGGAUGCACUAUCGCACGAAAACUCGAUGGACUCUGCCUUAGAAUGCAAAUAGAACAUUUUUGCAAAUUGGCUGAAAUACGUUCGGAAUUUGCCAUUUCAUCAUACGAUAGCGGGAAUUGAAGCGAACCGCUACUCUGCAGUUUAAGCAAAGUUCGAGGUAGCCUACUUGCGUAAUAUCUAACGAGAUACAAAAAUGUAUCUGCGUCAUUAAUCUGCGCGCGAUAAUCGUGUAAUAAUUUACGCACUUAAUUUUGCGAUUAGCAAAUAUUUUCGCUUCAACAGUCUCUUAAAAAUAUUUGUGAAUAUAAUCCUGUGAAAAUUGCGAGGUUACAAUUUCAUAAAUUACCAUUUCGCAAAUAAAAGAAAGUGAAAAUUUUCUUUUGAAUAAUUUCGGCGAUAAAAACGUCAAGUUGAUGUUCAAAAGUUUUUAAUCUAAAAAUCUCCAACACAUUCCACAAAUAUUUAAAUAAUUAAACUAAGGCUGAUUUAUUUUUUCAUUCAUUUAGUGCGCUAACUGAAGGAAUUUAAUCAAACUUCCGUUUCGCGCUUCAAAAGCAUUUUAUGCAGCUAUCCUUCCACAUCAUUGUCUUUCCGAAGUAUUCGGACCCGCGCUAUCCCACCAGCUCGACCUCGGGAGAGGUCGAUCCCUCUUGUCCGAAUGUUUGUCGGAGCUAUACGUUAAUAAAACGAAUUCGAGGCCGUCCUUUGCUCAGCCCGCCACGAAGGUCGGGGGCGGGCCCAAAAGCCGGCGGAGCAUUCGGUAGGUAGACAAGGCCCGACCUCGAACUCCGCCGUGAAUCGAGGUCCUUCGCCACACGUUUUCGUCUCUUUCGGUCUCUCCUCGGUGUCUUCUUUUUCCUCUCGCGAAAAAGCCCAUGGCGGAUUCUCGACUUCUCGCCGAGUCUGCCGCCUCCGCCGCCAAGAAUUAUCGUACCGCAACGUGAUACGUGCGUUUGCGAAACCGACGCCCGCACGAUACACCCGACAGUAAGUAUCGCUCGAUAUAUGUACGUCAGCCUAGAUUAUUACUUCGUGCCUUCGUUUGUGUUCUAAUGUAUUGCUGACUCAUGUCCGGUCACUUGAAAUACACAUACCUAAACUGAUAUAUUUCACUGAACGCAAUACUCUUGGGAAAGGAGAGCUAACGUUCCCGAAAUUCAAUCGAAAGAAGAUAGCUAUUAUAACAGAUUAAAAAUCUAAAUUAUAUUUGCAAUAGUUUGGAAGAGUCUCGAUGGAUUAUUUGAAAAAUAAAUAUUUUUAUCGCCACACUUUUUCAAAGCGCCACCGCGCGAGCAUUUUUGCUCAUUUAACGCAACACGGGCAGUUUGGAGCUAAUUAAUUCUUCAUUGAUCUCAGCGCCUGUCGUUUCUAUACGAUAAACGUUCAUUAUGCCUAUUUUCACGUUCGGAUAUUUAUCACCCGCUCUUCGCUAAAAUUAUGAGCGCUCUCGAUCCAUUCUUUCGCUCAGCGUAUCACGCGAUAAGCUGAUAUCGCCGUAGCGUGAAUCGUUAACCCGGCAACAAUGCCGAAAGCUAAGUACCUUUCACGGGAAUUCGGUGCGAUCCUAAUAGAGCUGUCCUAUCUCGCCACGCAUUGUCUCAGCAUCGCCGAUAAAUCCGCGUAUUCGCGGCGAGGUGCAUUGUCGCGUUCCCGCGUCGCACGCACGCACACGCACGGACGCGGAUUAAGCGCGCCCGUUGCGGAUUUAUAAGCGGACCCGGGUGGGCGUCGCGGCGCGGACAAUGCCAGGCGCAACGACAUUAGGCGAAUGCAGUUUCACCUUCUCUACGUCGUGAAAUUAUCUAUGCGGCAAUACGCGUUUACGACUUUUAUCCUUAACUCUUGAGAGUGUCGCGUCAUGAAACGCGUUGCGUCGCGUUAAAUUACAAUAGCGAAUGCGUGAUAGACGUUUGCGCUUUCGAAUAUGCGUUUAUUGAAAUAAUACAUUUGCGAUUAAAAAGUCUAUGACGGACAGUUAUUAUCAGCGCCACCCAGAAAAUUAUUUUUAAAACGACAAUCUUGUUUUAUAGCUGUAGUUUUCAUAUAAUAAUAUUAUAUAUGGUUGAUAACGAUUUUCUUUUUACAUAUAAUCUCUUUUAUUGAC